AGGAUAAACGCUGGCGGCGUGCCUAACACAUGCAAGUCGAACGUCCUACGCAAGUAGGGAGUGGCGGACGGGUGAGUAACACGUGGGCAAUCUACCUUUCGGUGAGGAAUACCGGCGAGAAAUCGCCGACAAUACCGCAUACGCUUCGCAAGAAGCAAAGUCGCAAGACGCCGGAGGAGGAGCCUGCGCCCGAUUAGCUCGUUGGUGGAGUAAUGGUCUACCAAGGCGACGAUCGGUAGCUGGUCUGAGAGGAUGAUCAGCCACACUGGGACUGAGACACGGCCCAGACUCCUACGGGAGGCAGCAGUGGGGGAAUAUUGGACAAUGGGCGCAAGCCUGAUCCAGCCAUGCCGCGUGAGUGAUGAAGGCCUUAGGGUUGUAAAGCUCUUUCGCCAGGGACGAUAAUGACGGUACCUGGAGAAGAAGCCCCGGCAACUUCGUGCCAGCAGCCGC
RNAcentral lists this ribosomal RNA (453 nucleotides) under uncultured bacterium. RNAcentral's name for it is "SSU rRNA". It matches the Rfam family "Bacterial small subunit ribosomal RNA", at positions 26 to 518 of the family's 1533-position model. The record is from RNAcentral.